Molecule: ribosomal RNA, 2972 nt
Filed under: Centrorhynchus sp. MGV-2005
Lineage: Eukaryota; Metazoa; Acanthocephala; Palaeacanthocephala; Polymorphida; Centrorhynchidae
Description: eukaryotic LSU rRNA
Rfam family: Eukaryotic large subunit ribosomal RNA
Source: RNAcentral
AAAGUACUCUGGAAAGAGAGUUCACAAGUGCGUGAAACUGAACACCGCAAAGCGAAUAACUGUGCAUUCUACGAUGCGGUUAGCUGUCUUCGACGCGUGGCGCUGCCGGCUCAGGGGUUGGCGGUGGGUUCGCUCCCGCCUUUCCUGUCGUUUGUGUGGCCGACUGUGUGUUGCCCUACGCGGAGUUGUACUUGCCGCCGCACUAUUGGCUGUCUGGCAGGCGAGCAAGCUAAAUGGCGUCAGGAGGCGAGGCGUGUGUGUCUUGUGCUCCACCCUCUACGUUAAUGACGUCGCUGUAUGUUGGCGUCCGCUGGUCCGUUUCAACGGGCGCUGCUCAUCGUGCUUGCCUGCUAUACGUGGGUGCCGUCGUCGCAAGCCAGGUGUCGGUGGGUGGUGGUGUGUCUGCGGGUGCUGCCGCUGUUUACGUGUCAUGAAUUUGGCAUUGCGUGUGGUGCCAGUGCGGAUUGCAGUGCCGCUUCAGUCUGGCGGCUUGCGGCCAAGACAGCCUCAGGUGUGCUCAGUAUUCGAACCGUCUUGAAACACGGACUAAGGAGUUCAACUUGAACGCGAGUCGUUUUCAAUCGAGAAUUUUGAAGGCGAAGUGAAAUCGAUCCUAUGUGAGAAAGGAGUGUCAACUGGUCCACCGGCUGCCGGGGGUUCGCCUCCGGUGCCGUGGCCAAAGGCAAACGUUAUGGGUAUCACGACAGAUACAGUUGUUGACUGCACGUGAGCGUUCAAGAUGAGACCCGAAAGAUGGUGAACUAUGCCUGAGUAGGACGAAGCCAGGAGAAAUCCUGGUGGAAGUCCGCAGCGGUUUUGACGUGCAAAUCAAUCGUAAGACUUGGGUAUAGGGGCGAAAGACUAAUCGAACCGUCUAGUUGCUGGUUCCCUCCGAAGUUUCCCUCAGGAAAGCUGGCGUGGUUUAGUUUUACCCGGUAAAGCUAAUGACUGGAGGGAUCAGAGUUGUAAUAUCUUUGACCUACUUUCAAACUUAAAACGGAUAAGAUACGGUCCGCUGCUUUAACGAGCGACCGUUGCAAAUUUCACGCGCCAAGUGGGCCAUUUUUGGUAAGCAGAUCGGGCGCUGUGGGAUGAACUGAACGGCGAGCUAUGGCGCCCGACACACUUCUCAGAAGACACCAUGAAAGGUGUUAGUUGAUAAUGACAGCAGGACGGUGGCCAUGGAAGUCGGUAUCCGCUAAGGAGUGUGUAACGACUCACCUGCCGAAUCAACUAGCCCUGAAAAUGGAUGGCGCUAUAGACGUGGGCCUAUGCUCGGCCAUUGAGGUGUCCUGCACACGCGUGUUGUACUGUGUCGUCGUCGCUUUUGUGGCGGCGGCGCGCGCGCGCGCGACGCAUUGAUUGUGAAAGGCUCUCGAUGAGUAGGAGGGCGAAGGCGUUGACUCAGAAGCGUGCGGUGUGAACCGGCGUGGAGUUGGCGGUCUUGCAGAUCUUAGUGGCAGUAGCGAGUAUUCAAGAUAAACGUUUGAAGACUGAAGUGGAGAAGGGUUCCAUGUGAACCUCGUUUGAACAUGGCUCAGCCGAUCCUAAGAGUGUGCGAGAUUUUGUGAAAUAAUGUGGGACGUUUUGUGCGUCCACGCGAUCGAAAGGGAAUCGGGCUAAGCUUCCCGAGCCAGGAGACGGAUUAUGAUGGCUUUUUUACGAAAAAAAGUGACAGAAGCGGUGACGCUCGCAAACCCAGAGAGUGCCAUGCGAUGCCCGGGGGAGAGUUCUCUCUUCUUUGUUAGGCAAGCUCACCCUGAAAGCGCAUUUUUCGGAGACAGGGUCUAACUGCCGUAUUGCGGAGUGACUUUUGCGCCGCACCGUGUGCAUUGUGUGGCCCGUGAAAAUCUGGGGGCGCAGUUAUGUGUCUUGUUCCUGAUCGUACCCAGUUCCGCAUCAGGUCUCCAAGGUCUAUAGCCUCUAGUUUAUGGGAUAAAGUAGGCAAGGGAAGUCGGCAAGUCAGAUCUGUACCCUUGGAAAAAGGAUUGGCUCUGAAGGCUGAGUUGAUCGGGGCUGUUGCCGAAAGGGGCGGAUUCGUCUGGGGGUUGGUCCGGGGCUUGCCUCGGAGGAGGUCGGCUCCAGAGCAGGCUCCCGCCUAUUUCGUCUUACGGACGGCUCCAGCUUGUCGGUGCAUGGCGCUAUCAACGGCGCGGUGUACGCAAAUCGGUCAACGGCGAACAGCCGCAUCAGAACUGGUACGGACAAGGGGAAUCCGACUGUCUAAUUAAAACAGAGCAUUGCGAUAGCCGUCACCGGUUUUGACGCAAUGUGAUUUCUGCCCAGUGCUCAGACUGUUAACGUGGCGAGAUCUAAAUAAGCGCGGGUAAACGGCGGGAGUAACUAUGACUCUCUCGAGGUAGCCAAAUGCCUCGUCAUCUAAUUAAUGACGCGCAUGAAUGGAUCAAUGAGAUUCCCACUGUCCCUGUCUGCAACCCAGCGAAACCACAGCCAAGGGAACGGGCUUGGGAUGAGACGGCGGGGAAAGAAGACCCUGUUGAGCUUGACUCUAGUCAGUUUUUGUGAAGAAACGUGAAAGAUAUAGGAUACGUGGGACCUUCGGGGUCACUGAAAUACCACUGCUUUCAUUGUUACUUGACUAACUCGAUUAUCUUGUUGGCGAAGUUGCUUAUUCUUGUCAUACAUGUAUUUCUUGGUUCAGUGCAUGAGAACGUUAUUAUUCGAGAACUCUGGCAGAUUGGGAGUUUGACUGGGGCGGUACAUCUACUAAAGUCUAACGCAGGUGUCCAAAAGUAAUCUCAGCGAGAACGGAAGCCUCGCGAGGCGUAAAAGGGCAAAAGUUUGCUUGAUCUUGACUUCCAGUUGGGGUAUGGACGACGAAAGUUCGGCCUAUUGAUCCUUUUGAAUUUUACGGAUUUUGAGCAAGAGGUGUCAGAAAAGUUACCACAGGGAUAACUGGCUUGUGGCGGCCAAGCGGCCAUAGCGACGUCGCUUUUUGAUCCUUCGAUGUC